RNAcentral lists this ribosomal RNA (763 nucleotides) under uncultured Streptococcus sp. RNAcentral's name for it is "bacterial SSU rRNA". It matches the Rfam family "Bacterial small subunit ribosomal RNA", at positions 28 to 776 of the family's 1533-position model. Lineage: Bacteria; Bacillati; Bacillota; Bacilli; Lactobacillales; Streptococcaceae. The record is from RNAcentral.
GACAACGCUGGCGGCGUGCCUAAUACAUGCAAGUAGAACGCUGAAGGAGGAGCUUGCUCUUCUGGAUGAGUUGCGAACGGGUGAGUAACGCGUAGGUAACCUGCCUGGUAGCGGGGGAUAACUAUCGGAAACGAUAGCUAAUACCGCAUAAUAGUAGAUGUUGCAUGACAUUUGCUUAAAAGGUGCAAUUGCAUCACUACCAGAUGGACCUGCGUUGUAUUAGCUAGUUGGUGGGGUAACGGCUCACCAAGGCGACGAUACAUAGCCGACCUGAGAGGGUGAUCGGCCACACUGGGACUGAGACACGGCCCAGACUCCUACGGGAGGCAGCAGUAGGGAAUCUUCGGCAAUGGACGGAAGUCUGACCGAGCAACGCCGCGUGAGUGAAGAAGGUUUUCGGAUCGUAAAGCUCUGUUGUAAGAGAAGAACGAGUGUGAGAGUGGAAAGUUCACACUGUGACGGUAUCUUACCAGAAGGGACGGCUAACUACGUGCCAGCAGCCGCGGUAAUACGUAGGUCCCGAGCGUUGUCCGGAUUUAUUGGGCGUAAAGCGAGCGCAGGCGGUUAGAUAAGUCUGAAGUUAAAGGGCUGUGGCUUAACCAUAGUACGCUUUGGAAACUGUUUAACUUGAGUGCAAGAGGGGAGAGUGGGAAUUCCAUGUGUAGCGGUGAAAUGCGUAGAUAUAUGGGAGGAACACCGGUGGCGAAAGCGGCUCUCUGGCUUGUAACUGACGCUGAGGCUCGAAAGCGUGGGAGCAAACAGG